AGGACCAUACUGGCCCGUAGCGGUCCUGAUGGCCUCAGUGUCUAACUGAGUGGCAGCAGUGCCACCAGCAUUAAGAGCAUCUCCCACCACCCCGCAGACCGUCAAAGUAGAGCCAGGAACAGAAUCAAGACCAUAUAAUUGCUGAUGAAAAACCUGUGGUUUCUCAGAAG
This is a long non-coding RNA of Talpa occidentalis (Iberian mole), 170 nucleotides long. RefSeq lists it as uncharacterized. The transcript is spliced from 3 exons. NCBI's taxonomy places the organism in Eukaryota, Metazoa, Chordata, Mammalia, Eulipotyphla, Talpidae. The record is from RefSeq and is a predicted model, not a curated record.